CUUAUCCAGAGCGGCGGAGGGAACAGGCCCUAUGAAGCCCGGCAACCGGCAAGGAAUGCAAGGUGCCAAUUCCUGCGGGCGGCAUGCCCGGAAGAUGAGG
This 100-nucleotide non-coding RNA is filed under the name human gut metagenome. RNAcentral's name for it is "SAM riboswitch (S box leader)". It matches the Rfam family "SAM riboswitch aptamer (S box leader)". From Rfam's summary of the family: The SAM riboswitch is found upstream of a number of genes which code for proteins involved in methionine or cysteine biosynthesis in Gram-positive bacteria. The SAM riboswitch acts at the level of transcription termination control. The record is from RNAcentral.